CCAGCUGCCACUGACUUGGUGUCACUCUAGGAGUCGCUCCUGGCAAAUACAAUUGGCUUAAGUCUAUCCUCACUACCAGAGGCUCUAGUGAAUACCAGGUGUUGCUUAGUCACGCCCCUCUAGAGAGUAGCGAGUCAGUGGCAAAAGUGGGUUUACACCCUCUGGUUCGUUACACUCCCUACUUCUACAUCUCUAUAAAAGAGUGAGUCCUUCACCUGGAUGGCUCAUACUUCCAGUGCUCAGCAGAUAUGGCUCCGGUGACCGUCUCUCUCAUUCUUCUAAUUUUGUGCUGUGCAGGGGCCUUAGCAGACAACCAUGGCAAACCACCACCACUACAAGGUCUGGCGAAAAUCUCGCUCUGGACGCGAUGACAUGCACAGGAUUUUGGCUGAGAUCUUCAAUCAAGAUGACGGUGCCCGGCCCAUAGCGAGCAAGUGGAUCAGAAAAGCCCGGAAC
This is a long non-coding RNA of Bufo bufo (common toad), 456 nucleotides long. RefSeq lists it as uncharacterized. NCBI's taxonomy places the organism in Eukaryota, Metazoa, Chordata, Amphibia, Anura, Bufonidae. The transcript has 3 exons. The record is from RefSeq and is a predicted model, not a curated record.